RNAcentral lists this ribosomal RNA (232 nucleotides) under uncultured bacterium. Its description in RNAcentral is "partial 16S ribosomal RNA". It matches the Rfam family "Bacterial small subunit ribosomal RNA", at positions 102 to 334 of the family's 1533-position model. The record is from RNAcentral.
ACGGGUGAGUAACGCGUGGGUAACCUGCCUUGUACUGGGGGACAACAGUUAGAAAUGACUGCUAAUACCGCAUAAGCGCACAGUAUCGCAUGAUACAGUGUGAAAAACUCCGGUGGUACAAGAUGGACCCGCGUCUGAUUAGCUAGUUGGUAAGGUAACGGCUUACCAAGGCGACGAUCAGUAGCCGACCUGAGAGGGUGACCGGCCACAUUGGGACUGAGACACGGCCCAA